UGACGUUACCGACAGAAUAAGCACCGGCUAACUUNGUGCCAGCAGCCGCGGUAAUACGAAGGGUGCAAGCGUUAAUCGGAAUUACUGGGCGUAAAGCGCGCGUAGGUGGUUUGUUUAGUCGGAUGUGAAAUCCCCGGGCUCAACCUGGGAACUGCAUUCAAAACUGGCGAGCUAGAGUAUGGUAGAGGGNGGUGGAAUUUCCUGUGUAGCGGUGAAAUGCGUAGAUAUA
RNAcentral lists this ribosomal RNA (229 nucleotides) under gamma proteobacterium SCGC AAA024-E21. RNAcentral's name for it is "partial 16S small subunit ribosomal RNA". It matches the Rfam family "Bacterial small subunit ribosomal RNA", at positions 470 to 698 of the family's 1533-position model. The record is from RNAcentral. Lineage: Bacteria; Pseudomonadati; Pseudomonadota; Gammaproteobacteria.